Molecule: long non-coding RNA, 692 nt
Organism: Gasterosteus aculeatus (three-spined stickleback)
Lineage: Eukaryota; Metazoa; Chordata; Actinopteri; Perciformes; Gasterosteidae
Source: Ensembl
AUGUCUUUUGGAUUUUCCGUGAGAGUGCUGGUGCUCUCCCUUUUGGCAUUUGGGCACAAUACAAAUGCACUCUACAGAAGUGGAGGCCCCAGUGGUACUAGGCCUCUCUUUGCUCAUCCACGAAGCCACAACCCUGAUUUUGUGUCAACUUAUGAGCGUUCUGUGAAGCCUGGAGGGUUUCUGGGUAGUUCUGGAUCCAGUCACGGUGGAAGUGGGCAAGUAGAUGGUUACAGUCCAUAUGGAAGUGUUUCUAGUUACGUGCCUGAACCACAGAUCCUUAGGAAACAAAACUCUCAGCAGCCGCCUAAAACUAACCCCAAUGCAAAUGGUAGAUUCUCGACCAAAGGUGGCAACUGGGAUUUGGCCCCUCAAAAUGGAAAAAGUAUUAAGUCAGGUAUUGCUUCAAGUAGUGCAAUUAUUAUGCAAUCUGGUUCAGAGCCACACACUUUCAAUCCGGGCUACCUGCCAAAGCAGCCCAGGCCCCAGGAAGUGCCUACUUCCAAUACAGGCUACCCGCAGAAGCCGGCCCCAGCAGCUGCCCACUUCCAAUACAGGCUACCUGCAGAAGCCGGCCCAGCAGCUGCCCACUUCCAAUACAGGCUACCUGCAGAUACCACCCAGGCCCCAGGCGCUCUCCUCUUUUAACACAGGCUACCAGUCCAAGCCCCAGCAGUCCCACACUUUCAAUCCAG